RNAcentral lists this long non-coding RNA (6188 nucleotides) under Lactuca sativa (garden lettuce). RNAcentral's name for it is "long non-coding RNA (LSAT_LNC005468)". Lineage: Eukaryota; Viridiplantae; Streptophyta; Magnoliopsida; Asterales; Asteraceae. The record is from RNAcentral.
UCAGUAAUUUCAUUAGCAGCUCCAAUCGAAGAAGAAGAAGAAGAAGAAGCGUUGCAGAGUCAAGAAGUGAAAAUCAAUGGUGAUGACGUGGACAAAGUGAGUUCUUCAGACAGUAUUUCAACGAUGCGUGUGGAAGAAAAUAAAACAGAUGAUGAUGAUGUUUGGGAUGAUGUUGAUCAUAACAUGAUAGAUUUAAAUAUAAUGCAUGAGGAGACAUUAGAGGCGUCGAUUCUUGACCUUGAAGAACUUGCUAAUAGAAUAAAAUGGCUUAAGAGCAUUCUUGAUAACAGUCGAUCAAAUUCAGGAUCAUGGAAGUUUGAAGGAGGAAGUUGAUUAUUUUUAAAUUUUUGUUGUUGUUUGUUGCUAAUGUACAAAGGUGAAGCAAGUUGUGUGUUGUGACUACUAUUAGUGUGUGUAUGGAUUAAAAACUUGUUAAUUGAGGGCUUUUGGUAAUUAAUGAAUGAAAUUUCUCAUUUUUACUAUGUUUGAUUUAGCCAUCCAUAAGUAAUGUUAAAUGAUCAUUUCGGCCAAAUACAAAGAGAAAUGAAAUUGGAUGACGUGCAUACAAAUUUUCUCUCUCUUUUUUUUUUUAUUAUUAUUUUUUUUUUUUAUAAAGCUAUUUGAUAAUUAUGCUAUCAAAACGGUUUUGUGGUAAAUUUAAAUGUUCAUAAAUGUUAUAAGUAUUAUAUUUGAUGCAUAGAAUUAGAAUUUGGCGUUACAUUAUUUUGGUUAGUCGGGCAGUAUUUGACGUAUGAUUGUCCAAAUCGCGAUCCUGAUCGUAUGAUCCUAGGUAUGAAAAACGACCCGGAUCGUAUUUGGGGUAGGAUCGAGAUCUGAUCCGAUUCUACCUUCCCUUGAUUUUUUUUUUUUUUUUUUUUUUUUUUUUUUUGCAAAUCUUUCAUAACAUUUUAUGUCUUUUACCCUUUACCAAUCUACCAUUUAUUAUUUUUUAUUGUGACUUAUGACUAAUAUUUUGAAGUUUUUAUAAUUUUUGAACAAAAAAUUAAAUGUUUGAAAUAUUUUUCAUGAUUAAAUAUUAUAAAUUAAAAUUAUAUUUUAUUUUGUAGGAUCUUAGAAUCUCAAUCCCAAUCUUGAAACCCAAAAGCGAUCCUAGGUAGGAUCCCGAUCUUGACAACCUUUAUUUGAUGUUUCCAAUCUAAACAUAAACUGUCCUAAUUUGGUUAUUUCUAAUAACAUAGUUGGGAAUUUAGUUAGAUUUCUAUUUUAUUACUAUGGUUAUUUCUAAUAACAUAGUUGGGAAUUUGGUUAGAUUUCUAUUUUAUUAUUAGGUGUGAGAGUCGUAUACUAUACAUGUUUAUUAAAAAUAAAAGUUAUAUAUCAUAGUGUAAAUAUUAAAUAAUUUUAAUGCCUAUUUCAUUUCAAAGUUUAACAAAAUAUAUUUUAUUAUAUCUUAAUUUUGACAAUAUAGUUUUAUAAUAUUUUAUUAUUGUAAUUAUGUAACAAAAAAAAUCCUAAUAAAUGUUUUUAGUGGUAGAAAAAAACAAACUAUUUAUUAUUAUGUUUAUUUUAUGGAGAAAAAUAUAUUUACCUUAAAUAAUAACUAAUUCAUUAAUUAUAGUUUUAUCUAUAUAUUUAACAUAAUANAUAAUAAUAAUAAUAAUAAUAAUAAUAAUAAUAAAGGAAUUAAUUAGUGAAAUUGAUUAAUUUUUUAUUAAAAAUAAAAUAAAAAUACCACAUAAUAACAUGUGAAAUUUAAGUAAUUAAAAAAUGACAUAAUGACAUGUGAUAAAACUUUAAAGAAAAUGAUAACCGAAAAAAAAACAUUUUCAUUUAUCAGUAGACUAGGUUAUAACCCAUGAAAACCACGGUAGGUAUGUUCAAUUUUUUUAUUAUAUAGACAAAAAUAAGAUUAAAUGUCAACAUAGUAAAAUGCAAUGUAUUUUAGAUUGUAAGUAAAACCGGAUGAAUUUGAUAAGUAAAAAAGAAAAUCUUUUAAAUUACAUUUUGAAACACUUCUUGGUAUAUAUCAUUUGACGUUUUAUUGGUUAAAUUACAAUUUUUAUCUAAAAUCAAUAACUUUCAAUUAUUAUAUGCUCAUUUUUCUGGAUAAAACAACAUAUAACUGGCCGUAUGAGAAAACUGGUUCUUGUAAAAAAAACACCAACAUUUGACAUCGCUGACAUUGACUUUUAUUUAUGGUCAUAACAAAACAAACACCAACAAAAAUGUCAUUAAUUUGAAUGGAAUUUUGACGUCCAAAGGGUUAAAGACAAUUUAUAAAAAGAGUAUAUACUAUAUAAAAGUGUAUAGAUAAAUAUAUGAUAAAGUCAUUGUUAUUGUAUAUUAUUACUAAGCAGUUUGUAUGUAUAAAUUUUAUUAAAAAUUAAACGUUAAUGAUGCAACAUUAAUUUUGUAAACUAAAAUUUAACAGUAAUAAUUUAUUGUGUUAAAAAAAGUUGUAAACGUAUUUGUGAUUGAAAGUAAACUAAUAUAACUUUUGAUAACAAUUUAAAGAUACAAAAAUAAUUACAUAAGUAAAAAGUUAUUGGGAAAAAAGUUAUAUGGACUUAUGCUAGUACACUAACAAAGUAUAGGGACUAAAUUCAAACUUUAAAUAAAAAACAUGAACUGGAUUACAAGAGGUAUACGAAUUUUUAAAUCAAAGAUGGUUUAUUAGUUAUCAAAAAAAAUUGAAAAUUUCUUAUAAAUACUUCUUAAUUUUUUGAAUAUUUAUUUUAUUAGCAUAAGAUGUUUUUUGAAAUUUUAAAUGAAAGAUUUUUAUAAUUAUCAAAAAUAUGGAAACUUGAAUUUUGAAUUUUUUAUAAAUACUUUCUGGAAAAUAAUGAAAUAUCAAAAGAAAAAAAAAAAAAUUAGGAAUUUCUUAAAAAUUGGAGUAAAUUUAAUGAAUGGUCCCUAUGGUUUGAGGUAAUUUGCGUGUUUGGUCUUUAACUUAUUUUUUUUUUAACUCGGAAAGUCCUUAUUGUUUGUUUUUGUUAUGUGCUUGGUCCCAACUGUUUGUUUUUGUUACGCGUUUGGUCCCUGUUUUAUCUAAAAUGACUAUUAUUUAAAUAGAGAAAAAUGAUGAAGUACGUAAGGUAAGGUAAGGUGAGGAGCUGGGGUUGAGGGUGUGUUUAUUUCAACAAAUUAAAAAAUCAAAGUCAAAAUUGUCUUUUUAGGUAAGACAAGGACUAAACACGUAACAAAAAACAAACAGUAGAAACUUUCCGAAUUAAAAAAAUAAAUUAGAAACCAACCAUACAAAUUAUGGUUUAGGACCAUUCCUAUAAUUUACUCUAAAAAUUGCCUACUGUCAAUUAGCCCUACUUAGAAACCGGACACGUGGCACGUUUUGUUUAUCAGAUAAAGUAGUGGCGCUUGUAACAUAAAAUCGAGGGUUUUGUUCGAAGUUCUAAAUUUCGAGAUGGAGACUGGUUCAGAAGGAGAAAGCGAUCGGAACAUCAAUGGUGAAUCCGAUGGAUCUAAGAGACAUGAACGCCAGAUGAAGACGCGCUUCCAACGGGAUAUGCUUGAAAAAACCUAUGCCGGUAUGUACUAAAUCAUCCCUUCAUAAUUCUAUUGAUAUUUUGGUUUCCGAUUCCACGUUUCGUGAUUUCUGUGCGUAUUUCUCAUCUAUAUUUGAUAGAUUCCUCGUUAAUUUGUUGGGGGUUCUGUAAUAGAUUCAAUCGAAUCACAUAUAUGUUGUUAUAACUUCACAAUUUGAAGCAUUAUGUUGACUCGCUUGUUGUUUCGAUUUAAAGUUUUUGAUUACAUAUAUCCUCUGCAGUGGAGAUGUAUCCAUUGAAGGACACGAAAGAGAAGCUUUCGGGAACUUUAGGGUUAACCGAUCGCCAGGUGCAAAGGUGGUUUAACAACCGCCGGCUUAGAGAUAAUAAACGACGGACUGCAAAAAGGGCUGGACGUGGUGGAGUUGGGAGGAGUCACAAUGGUUCAUUCUCAGCUCGUCUUCAAUGUAAAGACACGAACCAGACAAUGGAGAAGCUUGGUGUUCUUAAGUUUGAAGUUGGUCAACUGGCUGAAACCAAAACUUUUGAGAAAGGGUAUCGUUCUGCUUGGUUCAAAUGCAAGGUAUCUCUUCAUUCAACUACUUAAAUAAUCUGGAUGAAACUAUGAUUUAUGAUAUAUUACUUUUCCCUUCAUCAGAUUAAGGAUAUAAGCUUGAAGAAGAACAAGAUUUUACCUGAGUACUAUGAUUUUCCAGAUGAAAGUGAGUUGACUAACCUUAUGACUUAUGUUAUGAAUGGAAGCAUGGAUUCUACUUGUAGUUAUACUUUAUUUUCAUUUGCAGAGAUUAAAUGGGCAAAUAUGUACGAAAUUCCUCCUUAUGGUAGAAAGUCAAAGAAUAUUAAAAAACAACUGAUGGUUCGACCUCAAUAUCCUCAAAUAUAUCACAAAAAUGAAAUGCCACCUGUCAAUUCGAUUACAGAAGUAUGUGUUAUCAUUGAUGGUGUAUGGAAGAGUGGGGAUUUGGUAGAUUGGUUUGAAGAUGAUUGUUAUUGGUCUGCAAGUAUUAUCAAAAUAUUGAGUGAUGAGAGGGUUAAGGUAAUUGUUAUAAAAAAAAAGUAAUAACUUCUUUAAUUAUUAUUAUUAUUAUUAUAUGUUUUUCUUGUUUACAAUUUUAUAUCUUGUGUAGAUAGAGUUGCCAAAGCCUCCAGCUGGACAAGGGAAGGUUUAUAUAGCAUUUUGUAAGGAUCUACGCCCUUCCUUAGAUUGGUCUCCAAGUAAAGGCUGGAUAGUGCCUACCAUGGUACUUUUCCUUUUUCCUAUUGUAGCAAUGUACUUUGAUUCAUUUUAUAAAAUUUGAGAGAUUAGGGUUUAUGUUUAAAGGAAUAAGAAUAACCUAAUCAUUUCAAGUCCCCAAGAAUACUACUGAUAAAGGUUACAAUUAAAGAAAAUAAAUUCCAUAUGCCAAAGUAAUACAAUGUUAUAUGUAAACUAUAUAUGCCUAUAAUGUUUAAACUUUUUGAUUUCAUAGAGGAAAGUUGAUGGAAUUUGAAUUUCAUCAUUAUGCUAAACAUAUUCUCAUUGUUGAUAAAUUUCACAUGCAGAGAGGUCGGACUUCAUGUAAUGCACAGCUUAUUUUUCCAUCACCAAAAGGUAAAAAAGUAAAUUGCAUUCUAAAUAACAUUUCCAAUUAUUUACACAUCUUUACUUCAUAUAUUAGUUUCAUCCUACAACUUUAAAUCGAGAACUUGUAGUGUUUUUACCAAUGAUGAGGGCAUUUACGUCUUUUUUAAAAGACAGACAAGAGGCUGAGUCCUUGUCCCACCUUUUUUGGUGGAACAAGAAACUGUCAUUUUUGUAGCAUUCAAAACUUAUAAUUUUUGUUUCACUGACAUCAGUCAGAUAAAAAGUUGUAAAUUUUGUCCUCUGUCCCACUUUUUUGGGUGGGACAAAAUUUAAGCUUUUUGGGUAAUACAAAAAGUUGUACUUUUUUGUCUUAUUGACAUUAGCAGUACAACGUGCCAUGUCAUGUCUUAAAUAAAACCACAUCUUUUGUUCUAAUAAUUAAUGCCAUAUGUCUCAAAAUACAAAUUAAAUAUUAUAAUUUUCAUGGAUUUUAUAUUUUUAUGGUAAAAUGUAACAUCUUUUAGGGAUGGAUAUUGAGAAGGAGGAAAUUGAUACACCUCUAAAUGUAUCUUCAACAUCCCGUACAUCAGUAAUUUCAUUAGAGGAUCCGAUGGAGGAAAUACCGAAUAGUCAAGAAGUGAAAAUAGAUGGUGAUGAUGUGGAAAAGGUGAGUUCUUCAGACAGUAUUUCAACUAUGCGUGUGGAAGAAAAUAAAACAGAUGAUGAUGAUGAUGAUGAUGUUUGGGAUGAUGUUGAUCACAACAUGAUAGAUUUAAAUAUCAUGCAUGAAAAGACAUUAGAAGCAUCGAUUCUUGACCUUGAAGAACUUGCUAAUAGAAUAAAAUGGCUUAGGGCCAUUUUAGAGAACAAUCAAUCAGGGUUCGGAUCUUGGAUGUUUGCAAAACAACAUUCAUCAACCAAAGUAACUUGAUACAAUAGUUGACUGUAAAUAGUAGUUUUACUUUUUGUUUUUGUGGAAUUGUUUCUGAUGGAAAUGCCUGUAUGAUUAGUAAAUUAGAUGCGUUGAUCAAAUUAUGAUAUUUCUCAUUUUACAAUAUCGGAUUGGGAUUUAGAGGAUUUUUAUCAAAGUGAAAUAGUUGAAGGGACAACUUUACUUUGAAAACAUUUGUGAUAAAGAG